CAUCGUGAGGUGGGGUCUGAAGGAAGCCGGAGGCAAAACACUGGCCUGUAAAAGUUGCCCGGAUAGGCUGUGAAGCGUGGAUAAGGCUGCAAGACAAACCGAAGUCCAAUAACUGCACGGAACGCCAACAGUAAACGGGGCAGGUAUAAGUGGGAAAGAG
This 160-nucleotide non-coding RNA is filed under the name uncultured Eisenbergiella sp. The record is from RNAcentral. Lineage: Bacteria; Bacillati; Bacillota; Clostridia; Lachnospirales; Lachnospiraceae.